UACGGAGGAUGCGAGCGUUAUCCGGAUUUAUUGGGUUUAAAGGGUGCGCAGGCGGUCUGUUAAGUCAGCGGUCAAAGCCCGGGGCUCAACCCCGGCCCGCCGUUGAAACUGGCAGUCUCGAGUUGGAGAGAAGUAUGCGGAAUGCGCGGUGUAGCGGUGAAAUGCAUAGAUAUCGCGCUGAACUCCGAUUGCGAAGGCAGCAUGCCGGCUCCACACUGACGCUGAGGCACGAAAGCGUGGGUAUCGAACAGG
Molecule: ribosomal RNA, 252 nt
Filed under: uncultured bacterium
Lineage: Bacteria
Description: partial 16S ribosomal RNA
Rfam family: Bacterial small subunit ribosomal RNA
Source: RNAcentral